AGCUCCAAUAGUGUAUAUUAAAGUUGUUGUGAUUAAAACGCUCGUAGUUGAAUUAAGCGUUGAUAAUGUGAAUUGGAAAAAAACGAUUAGUUUUUUGAAAAUUUACAAUUAAAUUAUCAAAAAAGGUGAUUUUAUAAGAAAUUAUAAAAUUAUUACUUUGAAAAAAAUAAAGUGUUCAAAGCAAAACAUAAUGUUAAUGAAUAAUGAAGCAUAGUACAAUGCUAAGGAGAUUCGUAAGAAUUUCGAGAAAAGGAUUAAGAGGAAUAAUUGGGGUGAUUCAGAAAAUUUUGGGAGAGGUGAAAAUCCAUGAUCAAAAUAGGAUGAACGAGAGCGAAAGCAUUUCACUCAAUUAUGUUCA
This 358-nucleotide ribosomal RNA is filed under the name uncultured eukaryote. RNAcentral describes it as "partial small subunit ribosomal RNA". It matches the Rfam family "Eukaryotic small subunit ribosomal RNA", at positions 587 to 972 of the family's 1831-position model. The record is from RNAcentral.